RNAcentral lists this microRNA (24 nucleotides) under Gossypium raimondii (Peruvian cotton). RNAcentral's name for it is "gra-miR8776b". Lineage: Eukaryota; Viridiplantae; Streptophyta; Magnoliopsida; Malvales; Malvaceae. The record is from miRBase by way of RNAcentral.
UUUCAAAGUCCUUGCAUACUAUUU